UCAAAGAUGUAUUUUUUUCUGAUAAUUGUCUACGAAUACCUUGUUCAGUGUUCAUAGCUGAAGUUCUCCCUGUUGAUUUAUUCUAGUUAAUUCAUUAUGCAAUGUGCCUAAGAGAUUGGCUUUGAAAAUUUUUAACUUUAAACUAUUCUUUCAUCUUUCCCUAAAUAAUAUUUUUUCUAUGGUGCCUCAAGAAAUUUGUAUGUCCUAUGCUUUUAGUUGGGAGUAAAUGUCUUCCUCAAAGAUUCAUCUAAUACUAGAUGAUGAUAGAAAUUACCAUCAAAUUGCAUUUGAAAUUUGCUGAUACUUGUAAUUCUGUACAAGUUGUGUUUAAUAUAUGACUAGUGUUAAACCAACUUUAGCAUUUUCUUAAAUUCCUAAUGUUGGUUUGAGGCAGAGAAAUUUAAAACCAAGUCUAAUCUACUAGUGCACAAUAGAAUGAGCAGACUUGGGUUCCAACUGACUGUCCCCAGACAUAGCUUCAUCCCAACAUGCACACAAACUUACAACAGAAAACAAAUUUGCCAUUAAAUGAAGAAUUAACAUCUUUCUUUUAGAGAGAACCCCAGGCUGCUAGGAAAUCAUGAGCUCAGAGUCCUAAUGAGGCUGAAGUAGUGAAGAGAAGAAGCACCUCAGGUAAGCCAUGAACAUUCCCUGAUGUUGAAGUCUCACUUAUGGAGUGAGGGAACUAGACUGGGAGGUACUGUCUCCUUAUGGCUGGCUCAUCUGCCAAAAAGAGGGACUUUUCUAAAUAAUUGGCAACUGUGAAAAUGAAGUUGUGAUAGGCUUAUUAUCAUAAGUGUUGAAAUUCAGAAAUAAAAUACAGUAUUACAAUAUUUAGAGAUACUAUUUUUUUUCUGUUAGAAGGUAUUGAAUUGAGAUAGUCAUAUUUGCCUAUUAUCUACUUCUGAUGUUGAAUCAUCAAAUACAAUUUGUAUAGCAGGAAUUGAUGACUGACAGCUGGGUAUGAAGCGUGGAGUUUAGAAAUCCACGUUUUAAGCAGAUCUUUCAGGGGUCUCCUAUACUCACUAUUGAUUUUGACGUCUGAUCUCAAAGACAUGAAUUAUCUUGUCCAAUAUUUCUCCCUAAAAUAAUUUUUUAGGUGGUGCACAUCUGUAGUCCCAGAUAUUCAGGAGGUUGUGGAUGGAGAAUCGAGUUCAAGGGCAGCAUGGGCAACUUAGCAAGACCCCAAUAUUAAAAAAAAAAAAGUCAGGCAUGGUGGGACCAGUAGUCUCAGCUUCUUGGAGCCUGAAGAUGGAAGAUUGUUUGAGCCCACAAGUUCAAGACUAGCCUGGGCAAUAUGAAGAGACCCUGACUCAAACCGAAACAAUCCUCAAAACAUUUUUUAGUAUAAAACAAACAAACAAAAACAAAUGGCAGGCCAGAUUUGGCCUAUGUGAUUUGUAUCACAUUUAUUUAAAUAUAUAUAUGCAUACAUAGAUACACACAUAUAUAUAUGUAUAUAUGUAUACACAUAUAUAUAUGAAGAGAGAGAGAGUCAUGCAUUGAAUUCAGGAUGUUUUGCUCAAAUGUGAAAAAUGAAAAACUAACAAGAAAUAAGCUAACAAGCUUAAGUAAAUAUGAUCUCUGUACUAUGUAACCAUUUGUGCACUGUUAACAAAUGAAGACAAUUGUUUGAAUAUAUGUGUACAUUAUAUAUAUAUAUAUAUAUAUAUAUAUAUAUAUAUAUAUAAACAUGUUACAAGUAUAUAAUGUUUAAAUCUUAGAUAUAUUAUGAAAAAUUUCAAACUAUAUUGGGCUCUUUUCUUUCACAGCUACAGGAGCAGCCAGGAGGAUGCUCGGGCUUCAGUAGAGGUGCCUCCAGUUUCCCUUGCUGUGGCAAAAGAAGCUUUGGUUGGAUCCCAAUGAAACCAAUGAAAUCUUCAAUGCCAACUCUUAUCAGUAGAUUUGGAACCUGAUCAAAGAUAGCUGAUCAUCCACAAAACCAGUGACUAUUCAUUCUGAGGCUCCAUGCCAGAAAAAUUCCUUGGCUCCCCAGAGACACAGGCAUGUGGGCAUAGGUAAACAGAAGAGUAUAGUUAAUGCUCCAAUGUAGGAGAAGGUCACCUGGGUGCAGAGGAUGUGAAUUCUGUGUAGGCUGCUCAGAGAUACCAUGAAUCUAAGAUUAACCACCACAUGUAUCACAGCCUCUACCUGAAGGUAAAGGGCAAUGUCUGCAAAAACAAGUGGAUCAUCAUGGAACAUAUUCUAAAACUGAAGGCAGAUAAUGCCAAGAAGAAGCUUCUGGCUGACCAGGCUGAGACAAAAGAGGAAUACAAGCUCUGUGAGGAGCAUUCCAGGCCAAAGAGGAGGACAUCAAGACUCUGUCCAAGGAGGAAGAGACCAAGAAAUUAGGCUCCACUCUUGUGUCUGUACAUAGUGGCCUUGAUAAUUACAUAGAUACUCCUUGAAAUAAAAAAAAAAGCUUUAUCUGUUAAAAAACUAUAUUGUACCACAAUUUUAGAAAUUCACAGUUUUAUAAAUUGUCAUUUUUACAAUAAAAGAAAUACAGUUAGUCUGCUCUUUGAAUUGUGAGGCUUGAAGAAGCCAUGUUACUUGUUUUAAAACCAGAAAUAGUUCAUCACUCUUUAAAUAUUUUUGCUCUGUUUUACAUACUUUAUUUUUUUUAAUCUUCAACACUGUUCUGAACUUCUUUUACCAUUACAUACAAUGUUCAAAUGGUCAGCAUUUCCCUUUCUCUUUCUCCCUUUCUCUCCUUCCCCCAUUGCUUCCUUCCUUCCUUCCUUCCUUCCUUCUCUCUAGCACUGGAGCUCAAGCGCAGGGCCUCAUCAUGCAAGGAAAGUGCUCUAGCACUGAAACAUCCCAGCCUUCAGGAGAGUUUUCAAUUAAAGUCUCCUGAAAGAAAUCUGGGUACACAAAUAUGAUAAUUACAAUUUUAGAAAUGGGAGGUCCAUGCCUUUAAUCCCAGUGACUCCGGAGUCUGAGACAGGAGGAUCAUAAGCUCAAAGCCAGUCUCAACAAAUUAGUGAGAUCCUGUCUCAAAAAAUAAGGGCUCUGAAUGUGGCUCAUUGGUAAAGCUCCCCAGGGUUCACUCAGCCAUAUCAAGGGGGGGGGGAGAAUUUUAGAAAAGGGAAGAAACAUUUUUUAAAUAAUACAAGUUGCACAAUUUUAGCUUCAAUUUAAAAUUUAUAUCUAUGCUCAGACUUUAUUUAUAGGAAAAUUCUGUGAUUCAUUCCUGGAAAACCAUGGUACUUAGUUUAAAAUUGGAAAUGGUCUUUCUUUCUUUCUUUCUUUCUUUCUUUCUUUCUUUCUUUCUUUCUUUCUUUUUCUUGGUGGCCUUUUCUUUGCAUUGUGGUUUAACACUGGUUUCCAGAUUAUGGCCUUUUUUUUUUUUAAUCUUGUCCAAGUCUAGCUUCACUGUCCUCAAUUCUAUAUUCACAAUAGUUCACUAAAAUCCUCUAGUUCUUCAGCAUUUCUUGAACAAAUCCUUAGUGUUUUGUCACCAUGGCUAAUAGGUAUAUCUGCAUUCUUCUCAAAUUACAUUACAACAUUCAGUUUGUCAUUUUCUAGUAAAAGCCUAGCUCUUCUGCCUUAUAAGAUUCUGUAUUCUCAGUUGCAGGGCUUUCUGAGGGUCAGGAGCUACCUGGGUUGUUAGAAUGUGCUAGACCUUAGUGGAGGAUUCUGGAGGAAGACCCCUGGUCUAUCGUGGCUGCUUUCAUUGAAGCUCUGAUUACCUUAACUCCUCCUCACACCCAGCCCCAAGAUAAUAAUUCAAAGAGAAGAAAAGGAAAUGGAGGAGCACAGACAUGGACACCCUGGUAAUCCAUAAAUGUUCACUUCCAAUAAUUCUGAAGUUUGAGCAGAAAUUCGGGGGUCUUUUAAACUUCUUCACUCCUUAGGUGUUCUAGGUCAAAAGGUCAGAGGAUGUCACUAUGACCCUGCAACUUCUUUUGGUCAUGCUUCUAGAAUCCCAGCAUACUUUUAAAAUUUUUAUCUCUGUGCCAGUCUUAGGGAAAGAUAGACAACCACUACCCACCCUGCCAUUAAAGAAUUGUUCAUAUAUUAGGCUGUUUCUUAUUGCCAACCCUGAGGUGGGCUAGAUUCUUGAUCCCCUCUCCAGUUUCCAGUUCUACAUUAAUGUUGCUGGUAUGUUUUAGGAUGAAUCUCUGUUAAUUCCAGGAGGGUACUUUACCUUCUUCAGGUAGGUACAGACAUUCUGAAACCUGAGCACUGUCAUCAGGGCAUCCCUGUGUCCCAGACAUAAUAUCUCUCAAAUUCCAAGUCCUUCAUGUAUGGGGGAAGGGUGAGAGAAAACUUUUACAAGGACUGAUAUGGAGGUCUUGUUUGCAGUUGGGAGUUUCCUGCAGGUGUGGAGUCAGGGUCUCCUUGACCACAGAAAUGUAGGUCUGUGCUAGUUUCUCAAAAUUCCUACCUAUGGUCUCUUCCUCAGCUGUUCUCAGCUGGAGGAUUGAGAGGCUGCAAUGGAGAGAACUCAGUCUGGAAAGUGUUGAGAAGAUUGUGGAGUUGUGCUUCUGAUUGGUAGGAACCACAAAGCACUGGAUGCAUCCAAUCUCCAAUCUGUUGUCUGAGAGCCUGUCCCUCUUCCCCAGGUUGAGUCAAUGGAAAGGAAGCUCCUGGAUUUUCGAGCCCAAGUAUCCAAACAGGAGAGGCUCCUUCAGAACACAGCUGAAAAUAGGGCCCAGUUGGUAACUCCUGCUUUGUGGGGCUCUUUUAUUGUUUCAGUGACCAGGACACAUGAUGUUUUGAAGAAGGAAAGGACUAACUUGGAGCUAAAGAAUCGAUUGCACCUUUCACACUCACAGAGCCUGCUUCAAACACUUCACUGUCUAUGAUCAGAUCUGUAAGUGACUCUGACCUCCUUUGACCUUCGAGAAGCAUAUAUUCUGGUCCACUAGACAGGUCUUAGCUCCUAGAUAGCCUCUAGCUAGGGUUCUAUCCCUUCACCCUCGUGCCCUCUCAGCUCCCUGCCCUGCCCUUGCUCUCCUGUGUCAUUGUCUCUCCUCUUUACCCCAAUUUUCCCUCCUUGACGUCAGUCAAGCAAGGAGGUGGGAGAAAUGCAGUUAAGUUGGUCCUUGAAUGAAGAAAUUUUUAAAGUCUGUAAAUUAGUUGUCUACAAGGAGAUCUUGAGGACAUUUGUAUAUUAUGGACUUUCCUGAACUACUUUAUAAAAAAUUAAAUAAGGCAUAACCUUAUAAAUUGACUUGAGUGCACAAUAUUAGGUUAAGAACAGCAAUUUGAUUUUGACACAUCAGUUUUAAAAAAAUGAAGGAAGAUCCAUAUGGUCUCAUUGUCAUAAAAGAAAAAAAAUGAUAAUUCAAAAAAAAACACUGAACUUUAAGGGAAAAAAUUUUAAAAUAUGUGUACCAGAUAUUGUAUACAUUUACUUAAAUACUGUGCUUAUAAUUCCCUAGAAAUACUUUGAAGAAAAACUUGAUAUGUAACUGAUUGUUUUUUUUUUAUUUUUUUUAAUAAAAAU
Molecule: long non-coding RNA, 5455 nt
Filed under: Marmota monax (woodchuck)
Lineage: Eukaryota; Metazoa; Chordata; Mammalia; Rodentia; Sciuridae
Source: RNAcentral